GGCCUUGUGGCCCAAUGGAUAAGGCGCCUGACUACGGAUCAGGAGAUUCCAGGUUCGAGUCCUGGCAGUGUCG
This is a non-coding RNA of Nematostella vectensis (starlet sea anemone), 73 nucleotides long. The record is from Rfam. NCBI's taxonomy places the organism in Eukaryota, Metazoa, Cnidaria, Anthozoa, Actiniaria, Edwardsiidae.